UGGGGAAUUUUGGACAAUGGGGGCAACCCUGAUCCAGCCAUCCCGCGUGUGCGAUGAAGGCCUUCGGGUUGUAAAGCACUUUUGGCAGGGAAGAAACAGCCUGGGCUAAUAUCCCGGGCGACUGACGGUACCUGCAGAAUAAGCACCGGCUAACUACGUGCCAGCAGCCGCGGUAAUACGUAGGGUGCAAGCGUUAAUCGGACUUACUGGGCGUAAAGCGUGCGCAGGCGGUUCGGAAAGAAAGGUGUGAAAUCCCAGGGCUUAACCUUGGAACUGCACUUU
This 282-nucleotide ribosomal RNA is filed under the name uncultured bacterium. Its description in RNAcentral is "partial 16S ribosomal RNA". It matches the Rfam family "Bacterial small subunit ribosomal RNA", at positions 355 to 629 of the family's 1533-position model. The record is from RNAcentral.